CAAAUUUUUUAAAAAUAUAACUAGUAUGUUGAUGACAUAAGCUGUUGGUGAUUCUCCAAAUAAAGAAGCUUAUCACAUCAUCUACUUUGUACUUCAAUUUUUUUUUCUUUCUGAGAGUCAGCAUUCAUUAGUGAACCAUCAAAAACUUUCAGUAGAAGACAGGAGACUCAGAAUGUAGACAUUGUUCUUCAUCGACAAGACAGUCUUGAUUUUUCACUUAGAAAUGAGUUGGCUUUUUGUUAAAUUACCUAGGGAACUAAGAGUUUCUGAAUUUACAUGUAGAAGUUUUGAUUUAAUUAGGAUGAGGUGUCCUUUAGGUUUUAGAGUAAGUCUCUAGAUGGUUCUAAUAUAUAGUUCUCUCAAGCUAUAUUCCCCAGCCAGUGACAUCAGCAUUAACAUGGAAACUUGUAAUUAAUGAAAAAAAUCACAUGUCUCUCUGGAUCUAUUGAAUAGACACUCUGAGUUGGGGCCCCAAAUAUGUGCUUAUCAAAGUGCUAAUUGAAUAUGCUGGUGUCAAAAGUUAGGAACCAAAUUAGAGACCACUGGAUGAGUCCUCAAGGUCCUUCCAGUUUAAAAGUGAAUAUGUGUCAUAGCAAUCUUUCCCAUAUGAAUGCCACUCAUGUAAAGUAGAUGACCUAUUUAGUUUCUGUAUGUAUACUCCCAUUGUCCUGAACUGGAAUAUUCAAUCUCUUGACAACUAAGAAUUUUCUUCUUGUAGAACCUGCUAUUAAUCUGUUAACUGGUAAACCAACCUAGAUAAUCAACAAGGCUAAAGUCUAGGGAGUCACUAUGACUAAGUGUGGGAGAACUCAAGGUCAAGGGCAGAGGAUAUCCUACAGCUUGGAUUUAAGCCCAAACAAUCUGACUCUGGUUUCCUGAACCCAGCCCAGCAAGGACACUGCCUCAUUGAAGUAACAGCUGAAAGUGGACUGAAUCCAAGGCCUCUGCACCAUCUUGAAUUCUUCCAUGAGAACUGUUCCUCACUGGUAGUUCCUGUUGCUUCUCACUGCCAUAGUCCUACCCGGAAGCCUCUGUUUCAUAGCACUUCCUGACCUCAGGCAAGAAUAAACGCAAUCACACAAUUUAUUACCA
RNAcentral lists this long non-coding RNA (1092 nucleotides) under Mus spicilegus (steppe mouse). RNAcentral describes it as "lncRNA (ENSMSIG00000013700.1)". The record is from RNAcentral. Lineage: Eukaryota; Metazoa; Chordata; Mammalia; Rodentia; Muridae.